GCCAUGAAUUUUGGAUGGAUUUCUGAUAUCCUUUUAGGUUUCAUAUCUUUGUACUCAAGAACAAUGUCACGCCCAUAAUGUUUUUGGGUUGGAUCUUUCACUAUCAACGCAGCAACUUCUGAUGUUGAUGGCAUGUUGUCUUGACUCCCAUCUUGAUCCCUGUUGCCAAGUAAACAUAGAGUGAAAUUGUUGUAGUCAUCAUCUUUAAAUCUAUCUCUUGCCAUCCGGAAUGAUUGUGCCAGUGUGUUAUUCUCGUCAAGCAUGGUUAGUAGGCCACUGACAAUUGUUUCGUCUAGUGAGGCAUUACGUUCACCAGAUCUUGAUGCCUCUACCCUAUUCUUGAUCUCGUUCUUCGUAUCAUAGAUAUACAACUGCUGGAAACGAGGCUUAUUUCCUUCUUCAGGUAGCAGGGUUCCUAUCUGGUGACGGUUCUGGCCAUUCAGUCGGAAAACAUAAGGUAUGGCGGCGGUUCUUUUAGAGGUGGCAAGGUAACCUCUCCUCGCUUGCAGCAUAUUCCAAAGGUACAUAAUUUAUCCAAUCUCCAGUUCAGUGUCUGUCGAUUCU
Lolium rigidum is the source of this 564-nucleotide long non-coding RNA. RefSeq lists it as uncharacterized. The transcript has 3 exons. The record is from RefSeq and is a predicted model, not a curated record. NCBI's taxonomy places the organism in Eukaryota, Viridiplantae, Streptophyta, Magnoliopsida, Poales, Poaceae.